RNAcentral lists this ribosomal RNA (489 nucleotides) under Auriporia aurulenta. RNAcentral describes it as "eukaryotic LSU rRNA". The stretch from base 101 to 254 matches the Rfam family "5.8S ribosomal RNA". The record is from RNAcentral. Lineage: Eukaryota; Fungi; Basidiomycota; Agaricomycetes; Polyporales; Auriporiaceae.
AAAGGGGACUUGACUGUUUCCUUUCGGGCCUUCCUACGUUUCAACUUUAUAAACCACCAUAGUCUAUAGAAUGUCAUCUGCGUAUAACGCAACUUAAUACAACUUUCAGCAACGGAUCUCUUGGCUCUCGCAUCGAUGAAGAACGCAGCGAAAUGCGAUAAGUAAUGUGAAUUGCAGAAUUCAGUGAAUCAUCGAAUCUUUGAACGCAACUUGCGCCCCUUGGUAUUCCGAGGGGCAUGCCCGUUUGAGUGUCAUGGAAUUCUCAACUCACACAUUCUUGUUGAAUGUGUGGGCUUGGAUUUGGAGGUUUUUGCUGGCCGUCGGUCAGCUCCUCUUGAAUGCAUUAGCUUGAACCCCUUGCGGAUCGGCUUUCGGUGUGAUAAUUGUCUACGCCGUGGGCUGUGAAGCGACUUGUGUUGGGCUCAGCUUCUAAUCGUCUCUUUUGAGACAAUACAUUUUGACCUCUGACUCAAAUCGGGUAGACCUACC